GCUCCCAUGGUGUAGUGGCACCUGCGCUCGCCUUGCACGCGGGAGACCCGGGUUCGAUUCCCGGCGGGGUCA
This 72-nucleotide transfer RNA is filed under the name Diaphorina citri (Asian citrus psyllid). It matches the Rfam family "tRNA". From Rfam's summary of the family: Transfer RNA (tRNA) molecules are approximately 80 nucleotides in length. Their secondary structure includes four short double-helical elements and three loops (D, anti-codon, and T loops). Further hydrogen bonds mediate the characteristic L-shaped molecular structure. tRNAs have two regions of fundamental functional importance: the anti-codon, which is responsible for specific mRNA codon recognition, and the 3' end, to which the tRNAs corresponding amino acid is attached (by aminoacyl-tRNA synthetases). tRNAs cope with the degeneracy of the genetic code in two manners: having more than one tRNA (with a specific anti-codon) for a particular amino acid; and 'wobble' base-pairing, i.e. permitting non-standard base-pairing at the 3rd anti-codon position. Lineage: Eukaryota; Metazoa; Arthropoda; Insecta; Hemiptera; Psyllidae. The record is from Rfam by way of RNAcentral.